UCCUACGGGGGGCAGCAGUGGGGAAUUUUGCGCAAUGGGCUAACGCCUGACGCAGCAACGCCGCGUGGAGGAUGAAGGUCUUUGGAUUGUAAACUCCUGUCAGCAGGGAAAAAGGGAGUCGACCUAAUACGUCGGUGACUUGAUUGUACCUGCAGAGGAAGCCCCGGCUAACUCUGUGCCAGCAGCCGCGGUAAUACAGAGGGGGCAAGCGUUAUUCGGAAUUAUUGGGCGUAAAGGGCGCGUAGGCGGCCGUUCAAGUGGCGGGUGAAAUCCCUCGGCUUAACCGAGGAACUGCCUGCCAGACUGGAUGGCUUGAGACCGGGAGAGGUGAGUGGAAUUCCCAGUGUAGCGGUGAAAUGCGUAGAUAUUGGGAGGAACACCAGUGGCGAAGGCGGCUCACUGGACCGGAACUGACGCUGAGGCGCGAAAGCGUGGGGAGCAAACAGGAUUAGAUACCCUGGUAGA
This 465-nucleotide ribosomal RNA is filed under the name uncultured bacterium. RNAcentral describes it as "bacterial SSU rRNA". It matches the Rfam family "Bacterial small subunit ribosomal RNA", at positions 337 to 794 of the family's 1533-position model. The record is from RNAcentral.